RNAcentral lists this ribosomal RNA (727 nucleotides) under Acarospora oligospora. Its description in RNAcentral is "partial large subunit ribosomal RNA". It matches the Rfam family "Eukaryotic large subunit ribosomal RNA", at positions 174 to 919 of the family's 3401-position model. The record is from RNAcentral. Lineage: Eukaryota; Fungi; Ascomycota; Lecanoromycetes; Acarosporales; Acarosporaceae.
CUCCGGUCUAAGUUCCUUGGAACAGGACGUCACAGAGGGUGAGAAUCCCGUACGUGACCGGCCGCCACGCCCGUGUGAAGCUCCUUCGACGAGUCGAGUUGUUUGGGAAUGCAGCUCAAAAUGGGUGGUAAAUUUCAUCUAAAGCUAAAUAUUGGCCAGAGACCGAUAGCGCACAAGUAGAGUGAUCGAAAGAUGAAAAGCACUUUGGAAAGAGAGUCAAACAGUACGUGAAAUUGUUGAAAGGGAAGCGCUUGCAACCAGACUUGCCCGCGGGUGAUCAGCCGGUAUUUUUACCGGUGCACUCGCCCGUGGUCAGGCCAGCAUCGGUUCGGGCGGUCGGACAAAGUCCCCCGGAAUGUGACUCCUUUCGAGGAGUGUUAUAGCCGGGGGUGCAAUGCGACCCGCCCGGACCGAGGACCGCGCUUCGGCUAGGAUGCUGGCGUAAUGGUUGUAAGCGACCCGUCUUGAAACACGGACCAAGGAGUCUAACAUCUAUGCGAGUGUUUGGGUGUCAAACCCAUGCGCGUAAUGAAAGUGAACGGAGGUGGGAACCCUUAAGGGUGCACCAUCGACCGAUCCUGAUGUCUUCGGAUGGAUUUGAGUAAGAGCAUAGCUGUUGGGACCCGAAAGAUGGUGAACUAUGCCUGAAUAGGGUGAAGCCAGAGGAAACUCUGGUGGAGGCUCGCAGCGGUUCUGACGUGCAAAUCGAUCGUCAAAUUUGGGUAUA